AACGAACGCUGGCGGCAUGCCUAACACAUGCCAGUCGAACGAGACCUUCGGGUCUAGUGGCGCACGGGUGCGUAACGCGUGGGAACCUGCCCUUAGGUUCGGAAUAACUCCCCGAAAGGGGUGCUAAUACCGGAUAAUGUCUUCGGACCAAAGAUUUAUCGCCUUUGGAUGGGCCCGCGUUGGAUUAGCUAGUUGGUAGGGUAAAAGCCUACCAAGGCGACGAUCCAUAGCUGGUCUGAGAGGAUGAUCAGCCACACUGGGACUGAGACACGGCCCAGACUCCUACGGGAGGCAGCAGUGGGGAAUAUUGGACAAUGGGCGAAAGCCUGAUCCAGCAAUGCCGCGUGAGUGAUGAAGGCCUUAGGGUUGUAAAGCUCUUUUACCCGGGAUGAUAAUGACAGUACCGGGAGAAUAAGCUCCGGCUAACUCC
RNAcentral lists this ribosomal RNA (430 nucleotides) under uncultured bacterium. RNAcentral describes it as "partial 16S ribosomal RNA". It matches the Rfam family "Bacterial small subunit ribosomal RNA", at positions 29 to 504 of the family's 1533-position model. The record is from RNAcentral.